Molecule: ribosomal RNA, 413 nt
Filed under: Mantidactylus betsileanus
Lineage: Eukaryota; Metazoa; Chordata; Amphibia; Anura; Mantellidae
Description: partial large subunit ribosomal RNA
Rfam family: Bacterial large subunit ribosomal RNA
Source: RNAcentral
UGUCUCCUUUUUCUAAUCAGUGAAACUAAUCUCCCCGUGAAGAAGCGGGGAUACUAAUAUAAGACGAGAAGACCCCAUGGAGCUUCAAACCCAACUACACCCCCAACCCCUAUAACUACUAAAUCCUUGAGGCCCUGUAUCGUUGGUUUUAGGUUGGGGCGACCACGGAGUACAACAAAACCUCCACAAUGAACGGAAUUAAUUCCUAAUCUAAGAACUACAUCUCUAAGAAUUAAAACACUAACAUGAAAUGAUCCAUUUUUUGAUUAAUGAACCAAGUUACCCUGGGGAUAACAGCGCAAUCCAUUUCAAGAGCCCCUAUCGACAAAUGGGUUUACGACCUCGAUGUUGGAUCAGGGUAUCCUAGUGGUGCAGCAGCUACUAACGGUUCGUUUGUUCAACGAUUAAAANNG